UCCGUAGGUGAACCUGCAGAUGGAUCAUUUCGAUGAAAACCUUUUUUUCUUGAGGUGUGGCUCGCACCUGUCUAACUAAACUUGAGCUACCUUUUUUCAACACGGUUGCAUCGGUUGGCCUGUCAAACAGUGCGGCGGCGUGAAUUUUCACGUCUGCUUUGGCUGGGCGACGGACCGACACUUAAUCAACACUUUUGAUAAUCUAGGAUUUGAAUGAUAAAAGUUCAUUUUUACAAUGAAAUCGACUGGUAAUGCGGUCGUCUAAUUUUUUAAAAACAACUUUUGGCAACGGAUCUCUUGGUUCUCCCAUCGAUGAAGAACGCAGCGAAUUGCGAUAAGUAAUGUGAAUUGCAGAACCGUGAGUCAUCAGAUUUUUGAACGCAUCUGGCGCCGGCUGGGUCUCCAGUCGGCAUGCUUGUUUCAGUGUCUUGUUUUCUCCUCACCCAAAUCUUAAUGCGAGAGAUGCCCUUCUCUUGCCAAGCAAGAAAGCACUCUGCGCUCUGCGAGUGGCUUCGACUCGAUCGAGGGCCGCACUCAAUGCAGCAGUCACAUUGCUCACAAUGGUGGAACUCAUUGGAGGAGGCAGGAGGGCAGGUGCAGCAGGCCGGCUGGCCAGGUGGCUUAGGUCACGGGCAAACUUUCUUUGCAUCUGAAAUCAAGCAGGACCACCCGCUGAACUUAAGCAUAUCAAUAAGCGGAGG
This 701-nucleotide ribosomal RNA is filed under the name uncultured fungus. RNAcentral describes it as "eukaryotic LSU rRNA". The stretch from base 278 to 429 matches the Rfam family "5.8S ribosomal RNA". Lineage: Eukaryota; Fungi. The record is from RNAcentral.